RNAcentral lists this transfer RNA (99 nucleotides) under Thalassotalea nanhaiensis. Its description in RNAcentral is "Colwelliaceae bacterium SQ345 tRNA-OTHER". Lineage: Bacteria; Pseudomonadati; Pseudomonadota; Gammaproteobacteria; Alteromonadales; Colwelliaceae. The record is from RNAcentral.
GCGAACGUGGCACUAAUAUUGGGCCUAGACGCGCUGGCUAGGUAUAUGAGCGUUCCAGUAUCUUGCGAUGUGAGAGUUCAAGUCUCUCCGUCCGCACCA